CACUCCUGCGGGAGGCAGCAGUGGGGAAUUUUGGACAAUGGGCGAAAGCCUGAUCCAGCAAUGCCGCGUGAGUGAAGAAGGCCUUCGGGUUGUAAAGCUCUUUUGUCAGGGAAGAAACGGUGAGAGCUAAUAUCUUUUGCUAAUGACGGUACCUGAAGAAUAAGCACCGGCUAACUACGUGCCAGCAGCCGCGGUAAUACGUAGGGUGCAAGCGUUAAUCGGAAUUACUGGGCGUAAAGCGUGCGCAGGCGGUUUUGUAAGUCUGAUGUGAAAUCCCCGGGCUCAACCUGGGAAUUGCAUUGGAGACUGCAAGGCUAGAAUCUGGCAGAGGGGGGUAGAAUUCCACGUGUAGCAGUGAAAUGCGUAGAUAUGUGGAGGAACACCGAUGGCGAAGGCAGCCCCCUGGGUCAAGAUUGACGCUCAUGCACGAAAGCGUGGGGAGCAAACAGGAUUAGAAACCCCUGUAGUCCCAUGA
This 475-nucleotide ribosomal RNA is filed under the name uncultured organism. Its description in RNAcentral is "partial 16S ribosomal RNA". It matches the Rfam family "Bacterial small subunit ribosomal RNA", at positions 334 to 800 of the family's 1533-position model. The record is from RNAcentral.